Molecule: long non-coding RNA, 226 nt
Organism: Mizuhopecten yessoensis (Yesso scallop)
Lineage: Eukaryota; Metazoa; Mollusca; Bivalvia; Pectinida; Pectinidae
Exons: 3
Source: RefSeq, a predicted model, not a curated record
AAUAGAUGUCACCGUUAGUCUGUCAAGAAUGGAUCUAGCUCCCAGGUAACAGAACAGAAUCACGAUACGAAACAUUUAACCAAACUCCGGUAUGGCGUCCUCUGGUUGUGUUCCAGUUUUGUUAUGUCUACUACCUGGAGUCUUACCUCAAGUACAAGCGCAGUGGGGCGAUUAUUUUCACGGAUACAGCUCACAAGAAGUAUUUUACACUGACUAUGUCCAUGAG